Long non-coding RNA from Amblyraja radiata (thorny skate), 1040 nucleotides. RefSeq lists it as uncharacterized. The transcript is spliced from 2 exons. Lineage: Eukaryota; Metazoa; Chordata; Chondrichthyes; Rajiformes; Rajidae. The record is from RefSeq and is a predicted model, not a curated record.
AGUGGGGAAGAAGCGGUCCUUGAAUCUAAUGGUAUGUGCUUUCAAACUUUUUUUAUCUUCUGCAUAAUGGGAGAGGAGAGAAGAGGGAAUAACUGUGCUUUGAGUGGUCCUUAAUUAUGUUUUGUAAACGAGUUGUACCUUAUUCAUCUAGGCCCAAUCGUUUGCUGAUUCUGCAUGGAUUUUUAGAUGAAAAUGUGCACUUUUUCCACACAAAUUUCCUAGUCUCUCAAUUGAUCAGAGCUGGAAAGCCAUAUCAGCUUCAGAUUUACCCCAAUGAACGACAGUAUUCGCUGCCCUGAGUCUGGAGAGCACUGUGAGAUAAUGCUGCUACACUUCCUACAGGAAUACCUCUGAGAAAGAAAAAUGAUCAACAAUUAAGAAAUACAAUAAAUGAUUUUAGACCAUUGCUGAUAUUCAGUUCCUGGUGACUUGCUUUUGUCAAACAACAUAUUUGCCAACCUCGCCAACACCCCAGAAAUCUUCAAUCAUAUCUACAUCAGUUUACCAUUUUCCUUAUAACAUCAGUUCUGAGCAAGGGGAUAAAAUGAAUUUUUCAACUGUGAUUUGAUAUGGCUUGCUAGCCUAAAUUUUGGUUAAAUUUACAUGAAUUGUAACAAUACAGCAUGGAGUUGGUGUUGAUUCACCUAAACUAUUUACAGGCCUUAAACUCCAUUAUGAUUGGGAGUGAGUAUAAAGAUCUAAAUAUUUAUUCUCUCAACUUUGAAAGAUAUGUCCAAACCUGCUGUUGGGAAUUUGACCAGCUUUGUUUUAAAAAAAGAACACUCUCUGGCUGUUUGGGUUAGCAGCCAUGUUUCUGAAAUUCAUCCCCCUAGGAACUUGGUUUCACAAUGCCAUUCAGUAAAAUACUUAUUUUAACCUCUACAAGCUGCACCACCCAGGGAGUGUGUUUCUGGGCACGAACCAACUACAACUUUGCUGAGUAUUCAAAAUGUGUAUUAAAAGAAAAUAUUUUUAUGAAUUCUUAUUCUUUUAUAAUGAGUGUAUGGCAUUGUAACUCAUUAAAUAAUUGUAUCGCUUAA